AACGGCCCACGAUGGGUGAAGUGCAGGUGGAACUUGAGUGCGCACUGGAGUUGCAGGAAAGGGCAGACGCCGUCAAGCAGCCCAAGGAGUUGGGGACAAGUGCAAGCACUUCUCUUGCUCCUCCUCUUCCUGCCCAUGACAUGGAGGACUAUACCUACGAAAAUAUAUCAUUUUCUGAGAUCAAUGAAACUUUCUGUAUAUUAGUGAGCUUCAUUUAGUACUGAUGAGGCAGCUUCUGUUGAUAGUAUUGCUAGCCUUGAUCCUAACAGGGAAGCAAUAACAUAUAAGAAAUAUUGGGUGAUAUGCAAUAACUAUACUCUUGAAAGAAAUAAACUUUGGUUUAUCCAUCUGAGGAACGCUACAGAGUUUUUGGUUUCAUUCCUCUAUAUGCAACAAUGUUGUUUUCGCAUGUCAUGCACGAGAAAAACAAAUGUACGUAGAGCUAAUUGCAUGUAUCGGAGUGAACUUGGCCUACUUUGAGGCCCUCGGAGGUAGGUGAAGGUAAAGAAAAAAUCAUGUUGGAAGAAUAAACUACCAGCUUCAUUGAAAGUUAGUACGAGAACAAUGUCCAAAAUACUUGUAGUUAAACUCAUAAAUCUUAUUUUUUCUUAUUUUUUCUUUUUUGAGAAGAAUUUAUUGAUAAACAAAAAAAAUACAAUAUGUCAAGAGGACGUGAGGCCAAACCCAAACCAUUAAAAAUUCAUAACAACAAUUCAAAACCUAUUUCCGCAGCAAAACCUAUAACAAGGAAGCUUAGAAAGGUUGUGAGAAUAAGCAGUUGCAGCACAAGGAGGGCAUGAAUCUCACCAAUGGACACCGGGGUGAUCAACACCAUAAUUGGCCAAACAAUCAGCAACUUGAUUACCCUCUCUAAAAAUAUGAGAAAUUUGAACCUACAUGGAGAAUAGUAAAACUCGACAGUUAUGCCAACUGACCAAUAGCCUCCAAGGGAUAGAUGUCAAGGAAGGUGAGGAUGAAGAAAGAAGAUGAACAACCAGUGAGGAGUCACAUUCAAUCCAUAAGGAAUGUCAACCUUUAUCCCAAGCUAAAGGUACAACAUGAAUAACAGCGCGUAGUUCGGCAUCCAAAGAAGAGGCCAAGCCUAUUGAACCCGCAAAACAACCAAGAGAAUUACCCGUAAAAUCCCGAAAGAUACCACCAAAUGCAGCCACACCAAGGGAACCUCUUGGAGCACCAUCAGUAUUCACUUUGAUCCAAGACUGAGAAGGCGGGCGCCACAACACCUCAAUAAUUUUUGGAGCCUUAGCAAGACGUCCACGAACACCAAGGAGUUGACAUUUAAUAGAGGCGGCAAGUUUUAAUUUUUCCUGCUUUGCUUUCGACAAACACAAGUCACGCAUAAGAUCAUGGAGGCGGCAAGUUUUAAAUUUUCCGGUUGAUCCGAGGGUUCCAACUUGAACCAUGCACCUAUUAAUCAGUAACCCAAGUAGCGUUCUGCAACAUCCUCUAUUGUUUCAUCUCCCUCUGCUUCAUGAUGUGGCGAUACAAUGCCUUCUGCAAUCCAUAAUUGAACCAGUUUUCUCCGCGGAAUUUCAAAAUCCUUCAAUUAUUUUGUAGGAUACUCUGCUUCAUGAUAUGGCGAUACAAUGCCUUCUGCAUUACUGGAAAUGUCUUGAUGUGAAUGUGGGGCUAUUAUAUUCGCACAGCCCUUCAAUUAUUUUGUAGGAUACUCUGUAAUUUUUUUUAAGGAUUCGAACUUAUUAUAUUUAAAUUCAUCACUCAUAAACCAUCCUUGAAAAAAAUACUAAAAUAACUAUCAUUUAAUUUUACCCUAUAAAAAUUCCGACGGUCAUACAGUUUUGAAUUCGGGUGAAAUUUGGGGGCAUUGAUCCAUGAGGGAAGUACGUAGGUAUACCGUAUGUCGUAUAUAUGUUUGUGUGAAUGUGGGCCGGGUUUCCACACAGCGGCUUUCAGUUUUUUCAAUUACGUAAGUGAAUGUGGUCUUUAGUUUCCCAAAAAUUAAAAAGAGUGAAUGUGGUCUUAUCCGCGGAAAGAGGAUGAGGGAGGAUUUUACGUAAUUGAGUCCAUGUCUUAGAUGCAUAGUAAUGACGGCCAUACAGGCUUGUGAGUCAUACAGGCUUGUGAGUCCAUGUCUUAGAUGCAUAGUAAUGAGGCGUACUGCGCAGUCUGUCUCUCGUUUCUUCUCUCUUCGGAAGAAGAAACAAAAUGAUUGGGCAUUUCCAGAAGAAUUAUGCCGUCGUUUUACACUUGCUGAGAUCAGUGCAGCAACUCAAUGUUUCGACCAAACCUUAUGUAUUGGUAGGGGUGGCUUUGGCUCAGUAUUCAAAGGGCGUAUUAAGGUCGAUGGGGAUGAGGACAGGAUAAACGUCGUUGCAAUCAAGCGCUUUUCCGGACGUUCAGAACGGGGAAUGCGUGAGUUCAGGGCGGAGGUACAGCUACUGUGCCAGCUGCGCCACCCCAACCUCAUCUCUCUCGUCGGAUUCUGCCAAGAAAAUGGAGAGUGUAUCAUUGUCUACGACUACAUGCCCAACGGAACCCUCUCUGAUUACCUCCUUGAUCCUUCCAAUAUUAAAAAUAAAGAUCAUUUUCCCUUGACUUGGAAGCAAAGGCUGAAAAUUUGUAUUGGGGUGGCGCGUUCAAUACACUACCUCCACGCAGGGGUUAAGCAUGCUGUCAUCCAUCGAGACGUGAAAUGCACCAACGUUCUUUUGGACCAAAACUUGGUGCCCAAGCUUUCUGACUUCGGGUUGUCCAAGAUGGGUCCUCCUGUCGUGUCAAAUGCAUUAAUCAAAUUAAACUCGACGGUGGUCGGUACAUUCGGGUAUCUUGAUCCAGAGUAUGCAUUGUCCGGGCAACUUACCGAAAAAUCUGAUGUCUUUUCAUUUGGAAUGGUGUUACUUGAAGUGUUGUGUGCCAAAUCUGUUUCAAGAGAGAUAUCUGAAUGUGUGCAUAGGGGUGAGACUUUCCCUGCUAUGAUUGAUCCAUUUCUGAUGGGAAAAGUAGCUCCAGAUUGUUUGAGAAAAUUUAUGAACAUCGCUGUGAGAUGUGUGCGCCCUACAGGAGCUGAACGGCCCACGAUGGGUGAAGUGCAGGUGGAACUCGAGUGCGCACUGGAGUUGCAGGAGAGGGCUGAUGCCGUCAAGCACCUCAAUGAGUUGAGGACAAGUGCAAGCACUUCUCUUGCUCCUCCUCUUCCUGCCCAUGACAUGGAGGACUAUACCUACGAAAAUAUAUCAUUUUCUGAGAUCAAUGAAACUUUCUGUAUAUUAGUGAGCUUCAUUAGUACUGAUGAGGCAGCUUCUGUUGAUAGUAUCGCUAGCCUUGAUCCUAACAGGGAAGCAAUAACAUAGAAGAAAUAUUG
RNAcentral lists this long non-coding RNA (3343 nucleotides) under Malus domestica (apple). Its description in RNAcentral is "long non-coding RNA (MDOM_LNC011697)". The record is from RNAcentral. Lineage: Eukaryota; Viridiplantae; Streptophyta; Magnoliopsida; Rosales; Rosaceae.